AAGUCGUAACAAGGUUUCCGUAGGUGAACCUGCGGAAGGAUCAUUAACAAAUCAUUGAGCGCAAGCUCAGUAACCUUUGUGAAUUGGCCGACAAGACAAGUAACAUUGUGUUGUGGGUUUGUUGGGUUUGAGGGGCCUGUGCCGCAGUGGUUGUGUAUGUGUGUGUGUGUAUAUGCAUGCAUGUACAUCAGCCAUGGCAGUGCAGGUCGGAUUGCUGGAAGCCACGGUGCAGCUAGAGUUGAUUUAGCGGCAGGUGUGGCGGAAGGCGGUCACAACAACUUAAUAUAGUCUAAUUUAUUAUUAAAGGUCGAAAGGCUUUUGAGAACUAAUACAACUUUUAACAAUGGAUCUCUAGGCUCUU
This 361-nucleotide unclassified non-coding RNA is filed under the name fungal sp. RNAcentral describes it as "partial internal transcribed spacer region". The stretch from base 1 to 46 matches the Rfam family "Eukaryotic small subunit ribosomal RNA", at positions 1786 to 1831 of the family's 1831-position model. The record is from RNAcentral. Lineage: Eukaryota; Fungi.